Molecule: ribosomal RNA, 484 nt
Filed under: uncultured bacterium
Lineage: Bacteria
Description: partial 16S ribosomal RNA
Rfam family: Bacterial small subunit ribosomal RNA
Source: RNAcentral
AUUGAACGCUGGCGGCAGGCCUAACACAUGCAAGUCGAGCGGAUGAAGGGAGCUUGCUCCUGGAUUCAGCGGCGGACGGGUGAGUAAUGCCUAGGAAUCUGCCUGGUCGUGGGGGAUAACGUCCGGAAACGGGCGCUAAUACCGCAUACGUCCUGAGGUAGAAAGUGGGGGAUCUUCGGACCUCACGCUAUCAGAUGAGCCUAGGUCGGAUUAGCUAGUUGGUGGGGUAAAGGCCUACCAAGGCGACGAUCCGUAACUGGUCUGAGAGGAUGAUCAGUCACACUGGAACUGAGACACGGUCCAGACUCCUACGGGAGGCAGCAGUGGGGAAUAUUGGACAAUGGGCGAAAGCCUGAUACAGCCAUGCCGCGUGUGUGAAGAAGGUCUUCGGAUUGUAAAGCACUUUAAGUUGGGGGGAAGGGCAGUAAGUUAAUACCUUGCUGUAUUGACGUUACCAGCAGAAUAAGCACCGGCUAACUUCGUG